RNAcentral lists this ribosomal RNA (508 nucleotides) under uncultured bacterium. Its description in RNAcentral is "partial 16S ribosomal RNA". It matches the Rfam family "Bacterial small subunit ribosomal RNA", at positions 29 to 523 of the family's 1533-position model. The record is from RNAcentral.
AUUGAACGCUGGCGGCAUGCCUUACACAUGCAAGUCGAACGGCAGCGGGGGAGAAGCUUGCCUUUCCUGCCGGCGAGUGGCGAACGGGUGAGUAAUACAUCGGAACGUGCCCUGUAGUGGGGGAUAACUAGUCGAAAGAUUAGCUAAUACCGCAUAAGACCUGAGGGUGAAAGUGGGGGACCGCAAGGCCUCAUGCUAUAGGAGCGGCCGACGUCUGAUUAGCUAGUUGGUGGGGGAAAGGCCUACCAAGGCGACGAUCAGUAGCUGGUCGGAGAGCACGGUCAGCCACACGGGGAGUGAGACACGGCCGAGACUCCGACGGGAGGCAGCAGUGGGGAAUUUUGGAGAAUGGACGAAAGCCUGAUCCAGCAAUGCCGCGUGUGUGAAGAAGGCCUUCGGGUUGUAAAGCACUUUUGUCCGGAAAGAAAUGGCUCUGGUUAAUACCUGGGGUCGAUGACGGUACCGGAAGAAUAAGGACCGGCUAACUACGUGCCAGCCGCCGCGGUAA